RNAcentral lists this ribosomal RNA (266 nucleotides) under uncultured Weissella sp. Its description in RNAcentral is "partial 16S ribosomal RNA". It matches the Rfam family "Bacterial small subunit ribosomal RNA", at positions 79 to 339 of the family's 1533-position model. The record is from RNAcentral. Lineage: Bacteria; Bacillati; Bacillota; Bacilli; Lactobacillales; Lactobacillaceae.
AUGGACAUUGCAAAGAGUGGCGAACGGGUGAGUAACACGUGGGAAACCUACCUCUUAGCAGGGGAUAACAUUUGGAAACAGAUGCUAAUACCGUAUAACAAUAGCAACCGCAUGGUUGCUACUUAAAAGAUGGUUCUGCUAUCGCUAAGAGAUGGUCCCGCGGUGCAUUAGCUAGUUGGUAAGGUAAUGGCUUACCAAGGCAAUGAUGCAUAGCCGAGUUGAGAGACUGAUCGGCCACAUUGGGACUGAGACACGGCCCAAACUCC